This 1772-nucleotide long non-coding RNA is filed under the name Lynx pardinus (Iberian lynx). Lineage: Eukaryota; Metazoa; Chordata; Mammalia; Carnivora; Felidae. The record is from RNAcentral.
CAGCGCUGAGAAGACACGCAGCGGCGUCCUCGGCGGGUCUGCGUGUGUGUGGCCACCGGCAACACGUAAGGCAAGCGCAGGAUGAGUCGGGUAACGGGGAGUGCCAAGGAGAAAGGUCCGGGAGGAAGGGAUGUGCGGUGUCGGGAGGGAGGAUGCUGGGGCGCUCGAGGAAGACCCACUGGGGUCUUUGCUCUGGGCAGUGCAGCCACAGGCUAAGAUUUAGGACAAGGCUUAUCCCUUAACUCACGAGGGAAGGGACGGGAGUGUUCAGCCUGAGGUUGGAGACCACCGCACCCCUGUUCCGCAAUUCAUGGCAGUGACAGGCUUUGUCACAACACCCAGCCCUUCAAGGGCUGCCUUGGGGUGAGUAGGGGAGGCCUUAUUCCUCAAGGGAGGGAGGGGGCAGGGGCUUGGAUUUAUAAACUACAAUUUCAGAAGCUAUUUGAAAAGGUUUCUGACGAAGCAGUAAGAAUGUAACUUUCUGCCCGGGAUCUCUGCUGUGAGGUGACGUUUUGAGGAGAGGAUGGCUUCGUUGUCCCCCACGGUAGAUUUCCAGGACACUCACUGAGCCAUAAACGUGUCCCUCCUGGCACCGUCCGUUUUCACCAUCAAAGCCAGAGGCGCAGAGGAACAGGGAUGUGGGAGGGGAGGGGAUGAUGUGUCCUCUUCCAGUCCACACGACCAGUCUGGGGUUCUCCGUCCCGUGUGACCAUCUCCAGGGGGGGUCUUUGAGGCUUUGCUGAGGUCCUGUCUGGGCGGGAGGUGGUUGAUGGCAGCAGCGUUGCCAAAGGGCCGGGAGAAGAGUUGAGUUCUGAGUGCGAAUCUUGACUCAUGGGCCUUAUUCAUCUGUGAGUUUUCUGGAGGGUUUGACCAGCGGAUCCUACCUCCUCCCUGAACACCUACUCUCCUCCUUGGGUCUCAUUUCCCUUUUCUGUUAACUCUUACUGUGCAGUGACUCCCUUCAGAGCUCGUGACUCGGUGCUGCCGACUCCCCUGAACUCCAGGCCCACAUUUGGACAUGAGACACAUCGUCGUGGGUAUGUACAGAACAGGGGUCCUGGCCUCCCCCGACCCCACCUCCCCUCACUGCCUGCCUUCUGCCUCAGUUAUGGCCACUCCAUGCUUCCAGGCACAGAAGUCAGAUCUUGAAGCCACCCUGCCUCCUCAUUCCCUACAUCUGGUCCUUGAGUGCAUUCUGUUGGCUCUCUCUUCAAAGUAUAUCCGGAACUGUGUUUGACUUGUUCCAGACUGCCACCCUGAUCCUGCUCUAGAUUUCAAAAGGCUCUAAGAAAUGGUAACUAACUGCAACGCAAAACGAAAAUACACGUAGAAAGAUGUUUGCAGGGACUCCUGUGUGGCUCAGUCGGUGAAGCGGCCGACUUCGGCUCAGAUCACGACCUUGCGGUUUGUGAGUUCGAGCGCAGAGCCCAUUUUAGAUCCUCUGUCUAACCCUCCCCCCUUGCUCUUUCAGAAAUAAACAUUUAGAGAACUGGGGAAGUUAGAAUGCGUCACGAGGCACAUCUGGGUGGCUCAGUCAGGUUAAGCGUCCGACUCCGUUUUGGCCGAGGUCAUGAUCUCAGUUCUUGAGACUGAGCCCCAUGUCAGGCUCUACGCUGACAGCACAGAGCCUGCUUGGGAUUUUCUCUCUCUCCUCUCUUCCCUCCCUCACUCUCUCAGAAUAAACAUUAAAAAAAGAAAAAAAAAAGUGUCAUGAUAUUAGAUGAUAUUAUGGGAUAAUUGUUCACAUGGGCCUGAUGCUGGCAUUAGGCCAU